RNAcentral lists this ribosomal RNA (440 nucleotides) under uncultured bacterium. RNAcentral's name for it is "partial 16S ribosomal RNA". It matches the Rfam family "Bacterial small subunit ribosomal RNA", at positions 338 to 795 of the family's 1533-position model. The record is from RNAcentral.
CCUACGGGUGGCAGCAGUGGGGAAUAUUGCUCAAUGGAGGCAACUCUGAUCCAGCAACGCCGCGUGCGUGAAGAAGGAUUUAUGAAUGUAAAGCUGUAUCUGUAGGGAGGAAAAUGACAGUACCUGACUCAGAAGAACCGGCUAACUACGUGCAAGAAGCCGCGGUAAUACGGAGGGUGCAAGCGUUAUACGGAUUUACUGGGUGUAAAGGGAGCGUAGACGGCUGCGCAAGUCAGAAGUGAAAGCCCGGGGCUCAACCGCGGUACUGCUUUUGAAACUGUGUAGCUAGAGAUCAGGUGGGGUAGGUGGAAUGCCUAGUGUAGCGGUGAAAUGCGUAGAUAUCAGGAGGAACACCGGUGGCGAAGGCGGCUUACUGGACUGUAACUGACGUUGAGGCUCGAAAGCGUGGGUAGCAAACAGGAUUAGAUACCCGUGUAGUC